UACCAGAGGCUUGGCGUUCACGGG
This 24-nucleotide non-coding RNA is filed under the name Mus musculus (house mouse). Lineage: Eukaryota; Metazoa; Chordata; Mammalia; Rodentia; Muridae. The record is from RNAcentral.